AUGCUGGUGGCAGAUGCUUUAAGACUCGGAGGCGCAAUUUUGAGCGUCUACCCAGAUAUGUUGGCCCCUCAACUGAUUGGACGUCUCCUUCCUGAAAUUGGAUCGAAUCCCAACGUCAAAAGCCUCUUGAGAGAGUGCGAUGAUAAGGGUCCUGAAAACUGUGCUUUGCUGCCGUUCUACCACUGUCUGCAUACACCAGGUGGACCUUUAAAGUAUUCUUUGGAAGGCCAUCAAUUCGCUGUCUUUGAUUUCUGCCUGACCGCCGACUACAGAUACAUUGUUUCGAUCUCGAAUAAGUUCAUCACUUGGGACCUUUCGACAAGUGAUAUGACAAGAGACGUGAAUCCUGGCCUCGAGGGUAUUAUGCAAAAGCUGUGCCUCAGUCCGGACAAUCGAUUCGCCGCUGCUUACACCAAUAACAAUCAAACAGUGUUACUGAACUGCUUGACCAGUGAAUUCAUCGUGAUCAACAAUCCUUUAUCAGAAAAUGAAAAUGUGGAAGGAGUCUUUCUUCUGAAUGCACAUUUGUUUUGGUCCCAGGUUUGUAUCCCGGUGGUGGCGACAAAUUUUCAGGGAGCUGACGGGCGGAUCUGCGGAAACAGACUCCACACGGCGUGAAUCCCUGAAAAUGUCAAUGUCUGGAGCAUAUGUGCCAACCUUAACUCUUCAAGUGCAGUGGCUGUUUGUUUAGUAGCUAAGGCAGGGUGGCAAGCGUCAGAGAAAACCGGGAAAAGUCAGGAACUUUCGUGUCCGGUCAGGGAAUUUUCACGUAUGAACAAUUGAAUACAGUGCGUGAUAAGCAAUACCGCGCUACGCCGCACAGUGGGAAAAAACAGACCCUGGGGCGGCGUAAAAUCUGUAACUCGGAGGGAAAUGCAUAUUUUUGCUAUUUUCGGAUUUCCGCUAUAUUGAUAGGUAAACUUAAAACUUCUUGUCAUCUUCCUUCAAAAAUUCCAAGAAUUUUUCAUUUUCCUUACUUUCGUGGUGAUACAGUUGAACUCUAACUUUUAACACGUCCUU
RNAcentral lists this long non-coding RNA (1020 nucleotides) under Bemisia tabaci. RNAcentral's name for it is "lncRNA ENSSSA2NGG012769". The record is from RNAcentral. Lineage: Eukaryota; Metazoa; Arthropoda; Insecta; Hemiptera; Aleyrodidae.